CCUACGGGUGGCAGCAGUGGGGAAUAUUGGGCAAUGGGCGCAAGCCUGACCCAGCAACGCCGCGUGAAGGAAGAAGGCUUUCGGGUUGUAAACUUCUUUUCGCAGGGGCGAAGCAAGUGCCGGUACCUGAGGAAUAAGCCACGGCUAACUACGUGCCAGCAGCCGUGGGAAUACGUAGGGGCCAAGCGUUAUCCGGAUUUACUGGGUGUAAAGGGCGUGUAGGCGGGACGGCAAGUCAGAUGGGAAAACCACGGGCUGAACCUGUGGCCUGCAUUUGAAACUGUAGUUCUUGAGUACUGGAGAGGCAGAUGGAAUUCCUAGUGUAGCGGUGAAAUGCGUAGAUAUUAGGAGGAACACCAGUGGCGAAGGCGGUCUGCUGGACAGCAACUGACGCUGAGGCGCGAAAGCGUGGGGAGCAAACAGGAUUAGAUACCCGGGUAGUC
This 443-nucleotide ribosomal RNA is filed under the name uncultured bacterium. RNAcentral's name for it is "partial 16S ribosomal RNA". It matches the Rfam family "Bacterial small subunit ribosomal RNA", at positions 338 to 795 of the family's 1533-position model. The record is from RNAcentral.